GAUUUGGGGUCGACUGUUAAGGCCCAAAGAAUUAUGACGUCAUGGAUUCCUCGUUCGUCUUUGAGUCAACAGGUCACCGAACGUCACCUCCACGACGGCGACACACGAGAAGCUGCUCGCAAACUGUCGCUAUGGUCACCGGUUCCCCGUGUCUCGACCUGGUGCACUCUCAUAAGGAGACAGAUGAUCCGUUAGUGAGAAAAAAUGGAAGAAAAUUUUCGAGGUUAACUAAUCAACGGUGAAGAUUAUAGUGAAGCAGUUAUUAUACUCAGUUUAAUAUGCCAUAAUGGAAAAGUCAUCUUCACGAUGUAUCUCAAAUGUCAAGAUCAUCCUGGGCUCAUUUAGAAAUGCACGUGUAUGUAUCACCUGUUGAUGCUAUUGUUACCCUCGCUAUAUAUGUAUAUUAUGUAUCGUAAAAGUAGGUCAAGAUUACGUGCUACUGAUUUUUACGGUACAUCGAGCAUAGUUAUCAGGAUUUCACAGGAUGAUCGUAUCUAAUAAUAAACGCACGUGUUACACAUCAGUCAGGUGCACAAACGCACGUGAUUAAACCGGGAAUAACCACGUGGGAUAUUUGAGAUAACACAAUCGAAUGCUUUUCAAAUGGAGAAGAAAAUAACACGAUCAUUUCUGGGUUAAAUUCUUAAGCUUUUUGUUAAGCUUAAAAGGAAAUUCGAAUCCUUACAUAAUAUAAUAAUAGUUCAAUUGUGAUUUAUAUUACUGAAAAAAGAAUCUUAAUCUUGUAUCAAUGAAAAUCUGAUAAACGUAAACGUUAAAAUAUCGUACGUGUAUUCGCUCAUGAAACAAUAUACUAUCUGUAUAUACAAAUAUACAGGGUGUCCCAAAAUUACCUGACCAACGGGGUAUGGCGGUGUUCGGGAGGCACC
Molecule: long non-coding RNA, 887 nt
Organism: Cephus cinctus (wheat stem sawfly)
Lineage: Eukaryota; Metazoa; Arthropoda; Insecta; Hymenoptera; Cephidae
Exons: 3
Source: RefSeq, a predicted model, not a curated record